UACAGAGGGUGCAAGCGUUGUUCGGAAUUAUUGGGCGCAAAGGGCGCGUAGGCGGUGCGGUAAGUCUGUAGUGAAAUCUCUGGGCUCAACUCAGAGUCUGCUGCAGAAACUGCCGUGCUUGAGUGUGGGAGAGGUGAGUGGAAUUCCCGGUGUAGCGGUGAAAUGCGUAGAUAUCAAGAGGAACACCAGUGGCGAAGGCGAGUCCCUGGACAAUUCCUGACACUGAGGCACGAAAGCCAAGGGAGCAAACAGG
RNAcentral lists this ribosomal RNA (253 nucleotides) under uncultured bacterium. RNAcentral describes it as "partial 16S ribosomal RNA". It matches the Rfam family "Bacterial small subunit ribosomal RNA", at positions 524 to 776 of the family's 1533-position model. The record is from RNAcentral.